GAGGACCUGGGAGUGACAGAUCCAGGACUCAAACGAGGCAGUAUGGUUCUUAGUGACCCCUUAACCACCGAUCUCUACUGCUGCCGGUGCUGGGUGCUGACUUUACAGAUGGAGUUUCCGCUGGUCUCACAGAGGUUGCAUUCUAGUCGGGGACACAGAGGAGAGCAAAGCAAGCAAACAAACAAGUACCAGCUGCAAUAGGGAUGUGUACGAAAAGAUCAAGAAAGAAAUAUUCAGUCAUUUCGAUAGAAACAGGGACUAAAACGGAGUCGCCAGUGGGAUACUAAACGGAAGAGCCCCUAGUGUAGGUUUCCCAACCAUGCAGGCCAUCGACUGCUUCCCUGCACCCCCAACGCACCUGCUCUUGGUCAUCUGGGAACAACACGCCCGCCUCCUGUGUGCUUACCACGCCCCUACCCAUACCUCAGCCGUUCUUCUGUUUAACGUGCUGGACAUGCAAUGACCACGAGAGAGGCCGUCGGGAGGUAAAGCUAUGGAUAAGUCUCACCCUGGAUCAUUAAUAUACAUCCACAGAAAUUAGUUUAAAUAGCAUCCCAUCGUCUUACCUUCCUCCCGGAUAACUGGCUUCUUGCCCAGCACUAAACACAGCAGGCCCAGAGCAACACCAGAAGUCCCACCAUAAGCUUCUGGAAUCAGCUGACAGCCAGAGCGUCCGCUGGGAAGUCGCACCUCCGC
Nyctereutes procyonoides (raccoon dog) is the source of this 696-nucleotide long non-coding RNA. RefSeq lists it as uncharacterized. The transcript has 3 exons. NCBI's taxonomy places the organism in Eukaryota, Metazoa, Chordata, Mammalia, Carnivora, Canidae. The record is from RefSeq and is a predicted model, not a curated record.